UCAAGUCACGUCUGGAAGUGUUACAGGAUGGAAGAGUGAGCCUACAGUUGAAAAACACUGAAAGUGCAUUACCAUUAAGGUAUGAGGUAAAGUAAUAGAGUAUGCAAAUUGUCUAAUGAGAAGUACCAUCUUGUGUGAAUGAAUCCUGUGUAACAGCAAUCCUUUAUAGUUCUGUCACAGCUAGAAGCCUCAAAUAAUUCUGCUUCUCUUGCUAAAGAACAACUUGUCCUUUACGUUCAGAGUGUUGGUGAAGCUGGGUACUUAAAUGGCCCUAAAGAUGUUUCAUUUCGUUGGCAUUGCAGCGAUGAACAUCAUACAUGGACUUUUUAGGAAAGGAUUUUCAUGUACUGGGAACACAACUAUCAACAAUGCAACAUUGUACAGGUGCUAGUUUAUCAUUCAAGAGCCUUAUACAAUGAUGUUAAUCUGCAAUUUGUAUGUCCUUCCCCAAGCUUCCACCAGAAGUUGAAUCUAUGAGUCAUGUAAGUUACAUGAUCAACAGUUGAUAUGUUUAACGGUGUUGUUUUUCUUUUCUCAAUAUAGGUUAAUAGUAACAUUGGAUCUGAAAAAAUUCUUGGUUUGGGGCAAGAUACUGAAUAAAUUGUAUUGAUUGGAUGGAUGACAUGACAUUUCUAUACUUAAUUCGGAUUCCCCAGACGGUAUUUGAUAUUUAAAAAAUUGAAGUGCAUAUCUGGGCUCCCUUCUUUUCUGAAGCCCCGUUUCCCCUUGACUCGUAAUAAGCCCGUAGGGGGUCAUGCCCCUACUGUACGGUAUAUAUAAAAACAACAUAUACCGAGGUUUGGAGGGCUCUGGCCGGAAAGGGGACGUGGGAGAUCGGAAGAG
This is a long non-coding RNA of Daphnia carinata, 843 nucleotides long. RefSeq lists it as uncharacterized. Lineage: Eukaryota; Metazoa; Arthropoda; Branchiopoda; Diplostraca; Daphniidae. The transcript is spliced from 3 exons. The record is from RefSeq and is a predicted model, not a curated record.